UGGCGGACGGGUGAGUAACGCGUGGGCAACCUGCCUCAUACAGGGGGAUAACAGUUAGAAAUGACUGCUAAUACCGCAUAAGACCACAGUACCGCAUGGUACAGGGGUAAAAACUCCGGUGGUAUGAGAUGGACCCGCGUCUGAUUAGGUAGUUGGUGGGGUAACGGCCUACCAAGCCGACGAUCAGUAGCCGACCUGAGAGGGUGACCGGCCACAUUGGGACUGAGACACGGCCCAA
This 238-nucleotide ribosomal RNA is filed under the name uncultured bacterium. RNAcentral describes it as "partial 16S ribosomal RNA". It matches the Rfam family "Bacterial small subunit ribosomal RNA", at positions 96 to 334 of the family's 1533-position model. The record is from RNAcentral.